UCCGUAGGUGGAACCUGCGGAGGGAUCAUUACACAACAAAAAUAUGAGGGUGUGGUUUGCUGGCAACAGCGUCCGCCCCAAGUAUUUUUCACCCAUGUCUUUUGCGCACUUUUUGUUUCCUGGGCGAGUUCGCUCGCCACCAGGACCCAACCAUAAACCUUUUUUUAUGCAGUUGCAAUCAGCGUCAGUAUAAUAAUUCAAUUUAUUAAAACUUUCAACAACGGAUCUCUUGGUUCUGGCAUCGAUGAAGAACGCAGCGAAAUGCGAUACGUAGUGUGAAUUGCAGAAUUCAGUGAAUCAUCGAAUCUUUGAACGCACAUUGCGCCCUUUGGUAUUCCAAAGGGCAUGCCUGUUCGAGCGUCAUUUGUACCCUCAAGCUUUGCUUGGUGUUGGGCGUCUUUUUGUCUCUCCCCUUGUUGGGGGAGACUCGCCUUAAAACGAUUGGCAGCCGACCUACUGGUUUUCGGAGCGCAGCACAAAUUUGCGCCUUCCAAUCCACGGGGCGGCAUCCAGCAAGCCUUUGUUUUCUAUAACAAAUCCACAUUUUGACCUCGGAUCAGGUAGGGAUACCCGCUGAACUUAAGCAUAUCAAUAA
Molecule: ribosomal RNA, 595 nt
Filed under: Exserohilum rostratum
Lineage: Eukaryota; Fungi; Ascomycota; Dothideomycetes; Pleosporales; Pleosporaceae
Description: eukaryotic LSU rRNA
Rfam family: 5.8S ribosomal RNA (bases 210-363)
Source: RNAcentral